UAAAACAAGGGAGAGGGUGUUCAGGGGAAGACCCAGACCAUCCCCUCUUCAUCCUAGGGCACACAGGGAAGAACGGAUAAGGGAGAAAUGUGA
Molecule: non-coding RNA, 93 nt
Organism: Pseudonaja textilis
Lineage: Eukaryota; Metazoa; Chordata; Lepidosauria; Squamata; Elapidae
Source: RefSeq, a predicted model, not a curated record